Molecule: ribosomal RNA, 502 nt
Filed under: uncultured bacterium
Lineage: Bacteria
Description: bacterial SSU rRNA
Rfam family: Bacterial small subunit ribosomal RNA
Source: RNAcentral
GACGAACGCUGGCGGCGUGCCUAACACAUGCAAGUCGAGCGAAGAAUACAUAAAGAAAUCUUCGGAUGGAAUUAUGUAUUUCUUAGCGGCGGACGGGUGAGUAACGCGUGAGGAACCUGCCUUGUACUAGGGGGAUAGCCUCGGGAAACCGGGAUUAAUACCCUAUGACACUUGAAAGUCGCAUGACUUUCAAGUCAAAGCGAUUUAGCGGUACAAGAUGGCCUCGCGUCCCAUUAGCUAGUUGGCGAGGUAAUAGCUCACCAAGGCGACGAUGGGUAGCCGGCCUGAGAGGGUGAACGGCCACACUGGAACUGAGACACGGUCCAGACUCCUACGGGAGGCAGCAGUGGGGAAUAUUGCACAAUGGAGGGAAACUCUGAUGCAGCGACGCCCGCGUGAGCGAUGAAGGUUUUCGAAUCGUAAAGCUCUGUCCUAAGGGACGAUAAUGACGGUACCUUAGGAGGAAGCCCCGGCUAACUACGUGCCCAGCAGCCGCGGUAAU